UAAGAUCAGAGUGCUUGAAAUCUCCUGUGAUAUGCUGCUCAGUAUUUUCAUGAAUAUUACCCGUGAUCGCAUUAGACCAAAAAAGCCAGAUUUUUCCAUUAGAGUUACUAACUGCAUGUUCCAUUUGAAGAUGAACUCUCACAGUGUUGAGUUGGGAAUUGUCUGCAAAGGGCUCAAGUACAGCAAUCAUAUCUAAAUGGUGCAUCUUCUUGAGUGUUUGAAGUCUCUCCAGAGAACCUUGGGUGUUGAUACUCCUAGCAUUCCAACAGAGGGCCUUAAUCAUCAAAAACCUUUAGAUUUGGA
This 303-nucleotide long non-coding RNA is filed under the name Solanum tuberosum (potato). RNAcentral describes it as "long non-coding RNA (STUB_LNC000562)". The record is from RNAcentral. Lineage: Eukaryota; Viridiplantae; Streptophyta; Magnoliopsida; Solanales; Solanaceae.